Molecule: unclassified non-coding RNA, 175 nt
Filed under: soil metagenome
Description: partial internal transcribed spacer 1
Source: RNAcentral
CCCUUUCAAUGCAGCAGAAUUGGGAUGGUUGAGUAUCUCGCCUCUCCGUUCUGCCUGUAUUCUACCCUUGUUGUCAUAUACUAUUAUUUCCCUCGGCAGGCUUGCCUGCCGAGUGAAACCAUUUAUAACCUUUUUAUUUUCACAAAUCAGCGUCUGAAAAAAAUUAGUAAUUACA